This 996-nucleotide ribosomal RNA is filed under the name bacterium enrichment culture clone 1.94. RNAcentral's name for it is "bacterial SSU rRNA". It matches the Rfam family "Bacterial small subunit ribosomal RNA", at positions 11 to 1015 of the family's 1533-position model. The record is from RNAcentral.
GUUUGAUCCUGGCUCAGGAUGAACGCUGGCGGCGUGCCUAAUACAUGCAAGUCGAACGAGGUGCUUUUGUAGCAAUACGAAAGUAUCCUAGUGGCGAACGGGUGAGUAACGCGUUGGUGACCUGCCCCAAAGUGUGGGAUAACAGUCCGAAAGGAUUGCUAAUACCUCAUGUGGUCAUCGGGUUUAGAAACCGAUGACUAAAGCAGCAAUGCGCUUUGGGAGGGGCCUGCGUCCCAUCAGCUAGUUGGUGAGGUAAUGGCUCACCAAGGCGACGACGGGUAGGGGACCUGAGAGGGUGGCCCCCCACAAUGGAACUGAAACACGGUCCAUACACCUACGGGUGGCAGCAGUAGGGAAUAUUGCUCAAUGGGCGAAAGCCUGAAGCAGCAACGCCGCGUGCGCGAUGAAGGUCUUCGGAUCGUAAAGCGCUUUUAUGAGGGAUGAGAAAGGACAGUACCUCAGGAAUAAGUCUCGGCUAACUACGUGCCAGCAGCCGCGGUAAAACGUAGGAGGCAAGCGUUAUCCGGAUUCACUGGGCGUAAAGCGCGUGCGGGCGGUUCGGUAAGUUGGGCGUGAAAUCUCCUGGCUUAACUGGGAGAGGUCGUCCAAUACUACCGGACUUGAGAGUGAUAGAGGAAGAUGGAAUUCCCGGUGUAGUGGUGAAAUGCGUAGAUAUCGGGAGGAACACCAGUGGCGAAAGCGAUCUUCUGGAUCAUUCCUGACGCUCAGACGCGAAAGCUAGGGUAGUAAACGGGAUUAGAGACCCCGGUAAUCCUAGCCGUAAACGAUGUAAACUUGGCGUUGGUGGCUUAAACACCAUCAGUGCCGCAGCUAACGCGAUAAGUUUACCGCCUGGGGACUACGAUCGCAGAUUAAAACUCAAAGGAAUUGACGGGGGCCCGCACAAGCAGCGGAGCGUGUGGUUUAAUUCGAUGCUACACGAAGAACCUUACCCGGGUUUGACAUGCAAGUGGUAGUGAUCUGAAAGGUGAACGA